GCUAGGUGAUGCAGAAUGCCCCCAAGAAGAAAUCGACCAUGUAAAUGAAUGGUGAGGACUGGGGCAAUCAACUGUUUGACAACAUUUUACAUCACCUCUUGACUAUAAGAUGUGUUAUGCAAUCCUCUUUAGCUAAAUUUACGAUGCUGAAAUCUCCACUUCCUUGAGCAAAUCCAGCUUUUCCUGCUUUCUCUUUGUCUUCUCUACAUAUUUCUUCUUCAGUG
Molecule: unclassified non-coding RNA, 224 nt
Filed under: Hevea brasiliensis (rubber tree)
Lineage: Eukaryota; Viridiplantae; Streptophyta; Magnoliopsida; Malpighiales; Euphorbiaceae
Source: RNAcentral